This 729-nucleotide ribosomal RNA is filed under the name Meliponula bocandei. RNAcentral's name for it is "SSU rRNA". It matches the Rfam family "Eukaryotic small subunit ribosomal RNA", at positions 486 to 1175 of the family's 1831-position model. Lineage: Eukaryota; Metazoa; Arthropoda; Insecta; Hymenoptera; Apidae. The record is from RNAcentral.
CGGGACUCAUCCGAGGCCCCGUAAUCGGAAUGAGUACACUUUAAAUCCUUUAACGAGGACCAAUUGGAGGGCAAGUCUGGUGCCAGCAGCCGCGGUAAUUCCAGCUCCAAUAGCGUAUAUUAAAGUUGUUGCGGUUAAAAAGCUCGUAGUUGAAUCUGUGUGUCACAGUGUCGGUUCACCGCUCGCGGUGUUUAACUGGCAUUAUGUGAUACGUCCUAUCGGUGGGCUUAGCUCCUUGCGGGCGGUCCAACUAAUCUCCCAUCGCGGUGCUCUUCACUGAGUGUCGAGGUGGGCCGAUACGUUUACUUUGAACAAAUUAGAGUGCUUAAAGCAGGCUACCUUCGCCUGAAUACUGUGUGCAUGGAAUAAUGGAAUAGGACCUCGGUUCUAUUUUGUUGGUUUUCGGAGCCCCGAGGUAAUGAUUAAUAGGGACAGAUGGGGGCAUUCGUAUUGCGACGUUAGAGGUGAAAUUCUUGGAUCGUCGCAAGACGGACAGAAGCGAAAGCAUUUGCCAAAAAUGUUUUCAUUAAUCAAGAACGAAAGUUAGAGGUUCGAAGGCGAUCAGAUACCGCCCUAGUUCUAACCAUAAACGAUGCCAGCCAGCGAUCCGCCGAAGUUCUUCAGAUGACUCGGCGGGCAGCUUCCGGGAAACCAAAGCUUUUGGGUUCCGGGGGAAGUAUGGUUGCAAAGCUGAAACUUAAAGGAAUUGACGGAAGGGCACCACCAGGA